AGCCCUGGACAGUAUUAAAACUUA
This 24-nucleotide non-coding RNA is filed under the name Cricetulus griseus (Chinese hamster). Lineage: Eukaryota; Metazoa; Chordata; Mammalia; Rodentia; Cricetidae. The record is from RNAcentral.